UGGGAAAAGGGGAAAGAGUGAAGGAGAGAGGACUCCACCGUCCGAAAAGCUCCCACCAACUAAAGGAAAGGAAGGAAAAGUUAAGCGUGGUAGUGGCACCGAGAAGCAAUUAUUACGUGAACGAAUAAGGGGAAUGCUUGUUAAUGCAGGUUGGACAAUCGAUUAUAGACCUAGAAGGAAUAGAGACUACCUAGACGCUGUUUACAUUAACCCCACAGGAACAGCGUACUGGUCCAUCAUCAAGGCUUAUGAUGCUCUCCAAAAGCAAAUUGAUGAUGAGGAGAGUAAAUCAAAACCUAGUGGUGACCUCUCUCCCUUUUCUCCCAUAGCAGAUGAGGUACUCAGCAAACUGACAAGGCAAACUCGUAAGAAGAUUGAGAAAGAAAUGAAAAGGAAACAAAAGGAUCAUGCUGGUACUAAGAAUACAGAUGCAUAUACCAAGGAUGACUCAGAGGAUGCAGAUGACAUUAAGCAUGAAGAGAAACUAAGCUCAUUCAUAAAGCAGAAUGGCAAGUCGAUUAAACGAACAUUAAGGCACGAUCGGGGU
This 547-nucleotide long non-coding RNA is filed under the name Vitis vinifera (wine grape). RNAcentral describes it as "long non-coding RNA (VVIN_LNC001347)". Lineage: Eukaryota; Viridiplantae; Streptophyta; Magnoliopsida; Vitales; Vitaceae. The record is from RNAcentral.